CUCUGUCUCUCUCUCUCUCUCUUUCUCGGUCGCUCAUGGAGGUGUCCUUUACUACUCUCCCUAGAGAAAAAUCUCUAUCUAUCUUGCCCAUGGCUACAACAAGUCUGCACCAGAUACUGCCUACGGCGAGGAUUUCACUAGCGGGAUUCUCUCACACACCUAUGCCAACUUUUGCAAGUAUAACUCAAGCUCAGGCUAAGGGGAUGCCCGCAUCUCAGUCGCGUCUAGACCAGCCAGACAGGUUUCCUAAACUCAAGAAAUUCCCCUUUCAUGAAGGCAAGGAAGUGGAAGAAAUAAUUAAAGAGAUGAUCAAGGUAAAGGACGAGCCAAAGAUUAAAUAUCUAGACAUUGAAAAGGGUGGUGGCGAUACUGUAUCGGAUCUGAAAAAAAAGGUGAGGAUCCACUUUGAUUUCUAUGAUAGUAAUCAAAAUCGAAAACAUGGCAAUUGGCAGAAUGGUCAGAAGCGACGACCAGAAAAGAUUAAACUUUGCAAGCAUAAGCUUGGCAAAGGAUUUGAGAAAGGAAUCCAAGGCAUGCGAGAGGGGGGAAUAAGAAGAAUCGUUGUUCCUCCGGAAUACUCAUAUGAAGAUGUGAGUGUCGUCUCUGAAUUCUAUAUUUCUUCUAUUUUAGUAUAUUUUAAUAUAAUUUUGUUACAUCUAUUGUCUUUCUCAUUUAUAAAUAUAUAUUCUUAUACAUAGGGCCGUCAAGUAUUCCAAUAUAUAUAUAUACUUUUUUCCAUGUGGGAAUGCAUAUGAAUACAUAUGGGAAUAAAGUAAAUUAGAUGUAGGUUUAGGCAUCAAUAAGG
This 805-nucleotide unclassified non-coding RNA is filed under the name Hevea brasiliensis (rubber tree). The record is from RNAcentral. Lineage: Eukaryota; Viridiplantae; Streptophyta; Magnoliopsida; Malpighiales; Euphorbiaceae.